This 1534-nucleotide ribosomal RNA is filed under the name Bacillus safensis. RNAcentral's name for it is "bacterial SSU rRNA". It matches the Rfam family "Bacterial small subunit ribosomal RNA". Lineage: Bacteria; Bacillati; Bacillota; Bacilli; Caryophanales; Bacillaceae. The record is from RNAcentral.
UUUUUUUUUUUUUUUUUUUCUCUUCUUCAGGACGAACGGCGGCGGCGUGCCUAAUACAUGCAAGUCGAGCGGACAGAAGGGAGCUUGCUCCCGGAUGUUAGCGGCGGACGGGUGAGUAACACGUGGGUAACCUGCCUGUAAGACUGGGAUAACUCCGGGAAACCGGAGCUAAUACCGGAUAGUUCCUUGAACCGCAUGGUUCAAGGAUGAAAGACGGUUUCGGCUGUCACUUACAGAUGGACCCGCGGCGCAUUAGCUAGUUGGUGGGGUAAUGGCUCACCAAGGCGACGAUGCGUAGCCGACCUGAGAGGGUGAUCGGCCACACUGGGACUGAGACACGGCCCAGACUCCUACGGGAGGCAGCAGUAGGGAAUCUUCCGCAAUGGACGAAAGUCUGACGGAGCAACGCCGCGUGAGUGAUGAAGGUUUUCGGAUCGUAAAGCUCUGUUGUUAGGGAAGAACAAGUGCGAGAGUAACUGCUCGCACCUUGACGGUACCUAACCAGAAAGCCACGGCUAACUACGUGCCAGCAGCCGCGGUAAUACGUAGGUGGCAAGCGUUGUCCGGAAUUAUUGGGCGUAAAGGGCUCGCAGGCGGUUUCUUAAGUCUGAUGUGAAAGCCCCCGGCUCAACCGGGGAGGGUCAUUGGAAACUGGGAAACUUGAGUGCAGAAGAGGAGAGUGGAAUUCCACGUGUAGCGGUGAAAUGCGUAGAGAUGUGGAGGAACACCAGUGGCGAAGGCGACUCUCUGGUCUGUAACUGACGCUGAGGAGCGAAAGCGUGGGGAGCGAACAGGAUUAGAUACCCUGGUAGUCCACGCCGUAAACGAUGAGUGCUAAGUGUUAGGGGGUUUCCGCCCCUUAGUGCUGCAGCUAACGCAUUAAGCACUCCGCCUGGGGAGUACGGUCGCAAGACUGAAACUCAAAGGAAUUGACGGGGGCCCGCACAAGCGGUGGAGCAUGUGGUUUAAUUCGAAGCAACGCGAAGAACCUUACCAGGUCUUGACAUCCUCUGACAACCCUAGAGAUAGGGCUUUCCCUUCGGGGACAGAGUGACAGGUGGUGCAUGGUUGUCGUCAGCUCGUGUCGUGAGAUGUUGGGUUAAGUCCCGCAACGAGCGCAACCCUUGAUCUUAGUUGCCAGCAUUCAGUUGGGCACUCUAAGGUGACUGCCGGUGACAAACCGGAGGAAGGUGGGGAUGACGUCAAAUCAUCAUGCCCCUUAUGACCUGGGCUACACACGUGCUACAAUGGACAGAACAAAGGGCUGCAAGACCGCAAGGUUUAGCCAAUCCCAUAAAUCUGUUCUCAGUUCGGAUCGCAGUCUGCAACUCGACUGCGUGAAGCUGGAAUCGCUAGUAAUCGCGGAUCAGCAUGCCGCGGGUGAAUACGUUCCCGGGCCUUGUACACACCGCCCGUCACACCACGAGAGUUUGCAACACCCGAAGUCGGUGAGGUAACCUUUAUGGAGCCAGCCGCCGAAGGUGGGGCAAUGAUUGGGGGAUACAAAAAAAGAGAGAAGAAAAAAAAAAAAAAA